GAGAUUGUUACGACGCCGGUGU
Molecule: non-coding RNA, 22 nt
Filed under: Arabidopsis thaliana (thale cress)
Lineage: Eukaryota; Viridiplantae; Streptophyta; Magnoliopsida; Brassicales; Brassicaceae
Source: RNAcentral